Pongo pygmaeus (Bornean orangutan) is the source of this 425-nucleotide non-coding RNA. Lineage: Eukaryota; Metazoa; Chordata; Mammalia; Primates; Hominidae. The record is from the annotation of a RefSeq genome assembly.
CCGAGCAGCUGCAGUGGGGAAUGGGUCGGGUGUGUCAGGAGGGGUUUGUGUGUGGGGCUGUGUCACUGUGUGCUGUGUUCGGAGGAGGCACCCACCUGACCGUCCUUGGUCAGCCCAAGGCUGCCCCCUUGGUCACUCUGUUCCCGCCCUCCUCUGAGGAGCUUCAAGCCAACAAGGCCACACUGGUGUGUCUCGUAAGUGACUUCUACUCGGGAGCUGUGACAGUGGCCUGGAAGGCAGAUGGCAGCCCCAUCAAGGCGGGAGUGGAGACCACCAAACCCUCCAAACAGAGCAACAACAAGUACGCAGCCAACAGCUACCUGAGCCUGACGCCCGAGCAGUGGAAGUCCCACAGAAGCUACAGCUGCCAGGUCAUGCACGAAGGGAGCGUGGAGAAGACAGUGGCCCCUACAGAAUGCUCUUAG